GAUCAUAGCUCAGGAUGAACGCUGGCGGUGUGCCUAACACAUGCAAGUCGAACGGACUUUUCAUGAAGCCUAGCGAUUGAAAAGUUAGUGGCGGACGGGUGAGUAACGCGUGGGUAACCUGCCUUGUACUGGGGGACAACAGUUGGAAACGACUGCUAAUACCGCAUAAGCGCACAGCUUCGCAUGAAGCAGUGUGAAAAACUCCGGUGGUACAAGAUGGACCCGCGUCUGAUUAGCUGG
RNAcentral lists this ribosomal RNA (240 nucleotides) under uncultured bacterium. Its description in RNAcentral is "partial 16S ribosomal RNA". It matches the Rfam family "Bacterial small subunit ribosomal RNA", at positions 15 to 248 of the family's 1533-position model. The record is from RNAcentral.